GUUCUUCUAAGGCAGGUGGGCAGAUAUUUGUGUGAUAGCAGUUUCUAACAUCCGCUCUGAAAGCAGCAGCUGCAGGGAGGAUGCAUGAAGCCCAAACAUCAUAUCACGUUACGUAUUGCUGGUCAUAAAUGGAUGGAUAUUGCCGUAAUAUUCUGUUAGCGCCUGUGCGAAAACUAGCUCCUUUGCUCUCAUCUAUCUGCCGCCGUGCGUGGUGCGCUCGCUUUCGUUGUUUUCGCUGCCUCCGUGGGGAUGAUGAUGAGCGAGUGCAUGUCUUCCAAUAUUAAAAUUUCGGACCUUUCGUGGGUUCCUACUUUCCAGCUGCUGGUCCGUCCAGCACUGGCUUAUUAGGGCUUUCGUUCGACCGACCUUGCGCAGCGGCCGUGUUGUACGGCACUAUUGGGGGCGCCACUGUGACGUACAACAGCAGGGAUAGACAGCAGCAGCAGAUGUAUCUUGUUCUGGGCAAAAAACAAGAUACUGGUAGGCGCGGCGGCGCCGUGUUGUUGAAAUUUUCUUUGCCAUAGCUCCUGGGUACCCUGGUGGAUUCAAAAGCAGUACGGGUAAGUGUGUAUUUGAAUGGACUCCUCAGCCAGUGUAAGACGUGUAUCAUCAUCAUCAUUUGAAUUGACUCAUCAGCCAGUGUAAGACGUGUAUCAUCAUCAUCAUCAUCAUCAUUUGAAUUGACUCAUCAGCCAGUGUAAGACGUGUAUCAUCAUCAUCAUCAGCAGGGUCUAAACCCCCUUCACACAUAC
This 752-nucleotide long non-coding RNA is filed under the name Volvox carteri. Its description in RNAcentral is "long non-coding RNA (VCAR_LNC001713)". Lineage: Eukaryota; Viridiplantae; Chlorophyta; Chlorophyceae; Chlamydomonadales; Volvocaceae. The record is from RNAcentral.